UACGGAGGGGGCUAGCGUUGUUCGGAUUUACUGGGCGUAAAGCGCACGUAGGCGGUUUGUUAAGUCAGGGGUGAAAUCCCACAGCUCAACUGUGGAACUGCCUUUGAUACUGGCAAGCUAGAGUCCGGAAGAGGUAAGUGGAACUCCUAGUGUAGAGGUGGAAUUCGUAGAUAUUAGGAAGAACACCAGUGGCGAAGGCGGCUUACUGGUCCGGAACUGACGCUGAGGUGCGAAAGCGUGGGGAGCAAACAGG
Molecule: ribosomal RNA, 253 nt
Filed under: uncultured bacterium
Lineage: Bacteria
Description: partial 16S ribosomal RNA
Rfam family: Bacterial small subunit ribosomal RNA
Source: RNAcentral